UCUUCUCGUUUGCCUUUUUCUGCUUCUGCUGCAUGAUCUCCGAGUCCCU
Molecule: microRNA precursor, 49 nt
Organism: Peromyscus maniculatus bairdii (prairie deer mouse)
Lineage: Eukaryota; Metazoa; Chordata; Mammalia; Rodentia; Cricetidae
Source: Ensembl